RNAcentral lists this ribosomal RNA (243 nucleotides) under Planctomycetaceae bacterium. RNAcentral describes it as "partial 16S ribosomal RNA". It matches the Rfam family "Bacterial small subunit ribosomal RNA", at positions 1301 to 1533 of the family's 1533-position model. The record is from RNAcentral. Lineage: Bacteria; Pseudomonadati; Planctomycetota; Planctomycetia; Planctomycetales; Planctomycetaceae.
GAGUCUGCAACUCGACUCCAUGAAGUUGGAAUCGCUAGUAAUCGCGGAUCAGCAUGCCGCGGUGAAUACGUUCCCGGGCCUUGUACACACCGCCCGUCACACCAUGAGAGUUGGUUGUACCCGAUGUCGCUGGGCCAACCCUUCGGGGAGGCAGGUGCCUAAGGUAUGGCUGAUGAUUGGGGUGAAGUCGUAACAAGGUAGCCGUUGGGGAACCAGCGGCUGGAUCACCUCCUUUCUAAGGAA